AGGGAAUAUAACUUAACGGUAGAGUGUCUGUUUUGCACGCAGAAAGUCGCGGUUCGAUUCCGCGUAUUUCCA
Molecule: transfer RNA, 72 nt
Filed under: Ankistrodesmus falcatus
Lineage: Eukaryota; Viridiplantae; Chlorophyta; Chlorophyceae; Sphaeropleales; Selenastraceae
Description: tRNA-Ala
Rfam family: tRNA
About the family: Transfer RNA (tRNA) molecules are approximately 80 nucleotides in length. Their secondary structure includes four short double-helical elements and three loops (D, anti-codon, and T loops).
Source: RNAcentral